Non-coding RNA from Myotis davidii, 75 nucleotides. The record is from Rfam. NCBI's taxonomy places the organism in Eukaryota, Metazoa, Chordata, Mammalia, Chiroptera, Vespertilionidae.
GGCUGUUCUCUGGUGACGCAUCCCAGAAUCGGGCUCCCUCCUCUCUGAAUUUGGGUGUGUCAUCCAAGAACCACA